UACGAAGGGGGGCUAGCGUUGUUCGGAUUUACUGGGCGUAAAGCGCGUGUAGGCGGGUCGUUAAGUUGGGGGUGAAAUCCCGAGGCUCAACCUCGGAACUGCCUUCAAAACUGGCGACCUGGACUCAAGUAGAGGCAAGUGGAAUUGCGAGUGUAGAGGUGAAAUUCGUAGAUAUUCGCAGGAACACCAGUGGCGAAGGCGACUUGCUGGACUUGUAGUGACGCUGAGACGCGAAAGCGUGGGGAGCAAACAGG
RNAcentral lists this ribosomal RNA (254 nucleotides) under uncultured bacterium. Its description in RNAcentral is "partial 16S ribosomal RNA". It matches the Rfam family "Bacterial small subunit ribosomal RNA", at positions 524 to 776 of the family's 1533-position model. The record is from RNAcentral.